GAUGAACGCUGGCGGCGUGCUUAACACAUGCAAGUCGAACGAAGCAUUUCCUUUUCUUCGGAAAAGGAAAUGACUGAGUGGCGGACGGGUGAGUAACGCGUGGGUAACCUGCCUCAUACAGGGGGAUAACAGCUGGAAACGGCUGCUAGUACCGCAUAAGCGCACAAUGCUGCAUGGCAUAGUGUGAAAAACUCUGGUAGUAUGAGAUGGACCCGCGUCUGAUUAGCUAGUUGGUAAGGUAAUGGCUUACCAAGGCGACGAUCAGUAGCCGACCUGAGAGGGUGACCGGCCACAUUGGGACUGAGACACGGCCCAAACUCCUACGGGAGGCAGCAGUGGGGAAUAUUGCACAAUGGGCGAAAGCCUGAUGCAGCGACGCCGCGUGAGCGAAGAAGUAUUUCGGUAUGUAAAGCUCUAUCAGCAGGGAAGAAAAAAAUGACGGUACCUGACUAAGAAGCACCGGCUAAAUACGUGCCAGCCGCCGCCGUAA
RNAcentral lists this ribosomal RNA (490 nucleotides) under uncultured bacterium. RNAcentral's name for it is "partial 16S ribosomal RNA". It matches the Rfam family "Bacterial small subunit ribosomal RNA", at positions 28 to 523 of the family's 1533-position model. The record is from RNAcentral.